ACUUGAUUAUGCUCUUGUAAGUGAUGAGUUUGAUGUUAACCGUGCACUCGUAACCUGUUGUCCGAGUUCAUCGCAGCAACCACGCGAGCUGAAGGCCAUAACUCCAUGUCGUCUUGCCCUUGAGGAUAAAGUUUUGGGUAACAAAGUGAUAGUGGCAGAUGGUAUGGCGUACCCAUUGGAUGGUUCGUUGCACCAACACUUUAGAUCGAUGAAGCCUAGUCAUUAUAAGGUCCAAGUUGAUUGUAUUUACGACGGACAUGAUGAUGACACUCUUCCGGUACCUACUGGAGAUGGAUUCAAUAACUUAGGCAGGGCUCUUGCUAGUUUUGUGCAAUGGCCAAUUCACUUGGUGAUUUUCGAAGAAGACGAGGAGUACUCUACUCCACG
This is a long non-coding RNA of Spinacia oleracea (spinach), 387 nucleotides long. RefSeq lists it as uncharacterized. The record is from RefSeq and is a predicted model, not a curated record. Lineage: Eukaryota; Viridiplantae; Streptophyta; Magnoliopsida; Caryophyllales; Amaranthaceae. The transcript has 3 exons.